RNAcentral lists this transfer RNA (73 nucleotides) under Felis catus (domestic cat). It matches the Rfam family "tRNA". From Rfam's summary of the family: Transfer RNA (tRNA) molecules are approximately 80 nucleotides in length. Their secondary structure includes four short double-helical elements and three loops (D, anti-codon, and T loops). Further hydrogen bonds mediate the characteristic L-shaped molecular structure. tRNAs have two regions of fundamental functional importance: the anti-codon, which is responsible for specific mRNA codon recognition, and the 3' end, to which the tRNAs corresponding amino acid is attached (by aminoacyl-tRNA synthetases). tRNAs cope with the degeneracy of the genetic code in two manners: having more than one tRNA (with a specific anti-codon) for a particular amino acid; and 'wobble' base-pairing, i.e. permitting non-standard base-pairing at the 3rd anti-codon position. Lineage: Eukaryota; Metazoa; Chordata; Mammalia; Carnivora; Felidae. The record is from Rfam by way of RNAcentral.
ACCUGGCUGGCUCAGUUGGAAGAGUGUGCAACUCUUAAUCUCAUGGUUGUGAGUUUAAGCCCCAUGUUGGGUG